This 253-nucleotide ribosomal RNA is filed under the name uncultured bacterium. Its description in RNAcentral is "partial 16S ribosomal RNA". It matches the Rfam family "Bacterial small subunit ribosomal RNA", at positions 524 to 776 of the family's 1533-position model. The record is from RNAcentral.
UACGUAGGGGGCAAGCGUUGUCCGGAUUUAUUGGGCGUAAAGAGCGUGUAGGCGGCUUUACAGGUCCGUUGUGAAAACUCGAGGCUCAACCUCGAGACGCCGGUGGAAACCGUAAGGCUAGAGUCCGGAAGAGGAGAGUGGAAUUCCUGGUGUAGCGGUGAAAUGCGCAGAUAUCAGGAAGAACACCCGUGGCGAAGGCGGCUCUCUGGGACGGUACUGACGCUGAGGAGCGAAAGCAUGGGGAGCGAACAGG